GUGGGAGACUGUUGGAGGUAUGCCCUAGAGGCAAUCAUAGAGAUGAUGAUAUUCCAUUUGUAUCCAUGAUUUAUAUUGUGUUCCUUGAAUAUCCAUUAAACGCUACUUGAAUUGAUUUGCAAUUAUGUGAAUUGUGUGUGAAACUCUUUACUUAUAUGGUUAUUCAAAAGUUGUCCCUAGUAGAAGUUCAUGUGAGGACACACAUGAAUAUUAGACUAGCACAUGUAUUAGUUGAUGACUAUGUUUCACAAGUCAUGGACAUGGAG
Molecule: long non-coding RNA, 266 nt
Filed under: Setaria viridis
Lineage: Eukaryota; Viridiplantae; Streptophyta; Magnoliopsida; Poales; Poaceae
Description: long non-coding RNA (SVIR_LNC003146)
Source: RNAcentral